RNAcentral lists this ribosomal RNA (253 nucleotides) under uncultured bacterium. RNAcentral's name for it is "partial 16S ribosomal RNA". It matches the Rfam family "Bacterial small subunit ribosomal RNA", at positions 524 to 776 of the family's 1533-position model. The record is from RNAcentral.
UACGAAGGGGGCUAGCGUUGCUCGGAAUCACUGGGCGUAAAGGGUGCGUAGGCGGAUCUUUAAGUCAGGGGUGAAAUCCUGGAGCUCAACUCCAGAACUGCCUUUGAUACUGAGGAUCUCGAGUUCGGGAGAGGUGAGUGGAACUGCGAGUGUAGAGGUGAAAUUCGUAGAUAUUCGGAAGAACACCAGUGGCGAAGGCGACUUACUGGACACAUAUUGACGCUGAGGUGCGAAAGCGUGGGGAGCAAACAGG